GAUGAACGCUGGCGGCGUGCCUAAUACAUGCAAGUCGAGCGAAUGGAUUAAGAGCUUGCUCUUAUGAAGUUAGCGGCGGACGGGUGAGUAACACGUGGGUAACCUACCCAUAAGACUGGGAUAACUCCGGGAAACCGGGGCUAAUACCGGAUAAUAUUUUGAACUGCAUAGUUCGAAAUUGAAAGGCGGCUUCGGCUGUCACUUAUGGAUGGACCCGCGUCGCAUUAGCUAGUUGGUGAGGUAACGGCUCACCAAGGCGACGAUGCGUAGCCGACCUGAGAGGGUGAUCGGCCACACUGGGACUGAGACACGGCCCAGACUCCUACGGGAGGCAGCAGUAGGGAAUCUUCCGCAAUGGACGAAAGUCUGACGGAGCAACGCCGCGUGAGUGAUGAAGGCUUUCGGGUCGUAAAACUCUGUUGUUAGGGAAGAACAAGUGCUAGUUGAAUAAGCUGGCACCUUGACGGUACCUAACCAGAAAGCCACGGCUAACUACGUGCCAGCCGCCGCGGUUAAUACG
This 520-nucleotide ribosomal RNA is filed under the name Bacillus cereus. RNAcentral's name for it is "bacterial SSU rRNA". It matches the Rfam family "Bacterial small subunit ribosomal RNA", at positions 28 to 527 of the family's 1533-position model. The record is from RNAcentral. Lineage: Bacteria; Bacillati; Bacillota; Bacilli; Caryophanales; Bacillaceae.